GAUGAAUGCUGGCGGCGUGCCUAACACAUGCAAGUCGAGCGGCAGCGAGGGGUGCUUGCACCCUGUCGGCGAGCGGCGAACGGCUGAGUAACGCGUAGGAAUUUGCCCCAAAGUGAGGAAUAACUGCCCGAAAGGGUAGCUAAUGCCGCAUAUGGUCUUCGGAUUAAAGGAUUUAUCCGCUUUGGGAGAAGCCUGCGUUGGAUUAGGUUGUUGGUAGGGUAAUGGCCUACCAAGCCGACGAUCCAUAGCUGGUCUGAGAGGAUGAUCAGCCAGACUGGAACUGAGACACGCUCCAGACUCCUACGGGAAGCAGCAGUGAGGAAUCUUCCACACUGCGCGAAAGCCUGAUGGAGCAACGCCGCGUGAAGGAUGAAGGCCUUCGGGUUGUAAACUUCUUUUAUGAGUGAAGAAUAUGACGGUAACUCGUGAAUAAGCACCGGCUAACUACGUG
This 451-nucleotide ribosomal RNA is filed under the name uncultured bacterium. Its description in RNAcentral is "partial 16S ribosomal RNA". It matches the Rfam family "Bacterial small subunit ribosomal RNA", at positions 28 to 507 of the family's 1533-position model. The record is from RNAcentral.